UGAUCCGCAUUUAUCUUCAGUUCGACGCUGAAUUUGAGCAGUAAGGCCGGUCUGUGUGAAUAUUGCAGCGAUGAAGUUAGUUAUGUGUAUCUUCUUGCUUUUGGCGAUCCUUGAGGGAUUUCAAUGUGCACCAUUCUGGGAAAUCCAGCUCCCUUCUCUUCCACAACCAGGGCCACUAUUGCAAGUUAACGUCGUACAAAAUCAAAUUACCAACAAUGGACAUCACAAUAACAUGCUCCUGCAAACGAAUUCAUUAUUAAAUCCAUUUGGAUUCAUAUUGUUGUAAGGAAUUUAAAUAUUUAAAUAUUAUGAA
This is a long non-coding RNA of Spodoptera frugiperda (fall armyworm), 313 nucleotides long. RefSeq lists it as uncharacterized. The record is from RefSeq and is a predicted model, not a curated record. The transcript is spliced from 3 exons. Lineage: Eukaryota; Metazoa; Arthropoda; Insecta; Lepidoptera; Noctuidae.